GACGAACGCUGGCGGCGUGCUUAACACAUGCAAGUCGAACGGAAAGACACUGCUUUUGUGGGGUGCUCGAGUGGCGAACGGGUGAGUAACACGUGAGUAACCUGCCCUUGACUUUGGGAUAACUUCAGGAAACUGAGGCUAAUACCGGAUAGGAGCCCCUGCUCCAUGGUGGGGGUUGGAACGUUUCGGCGGUUGGGGAUGGACUCGCGGCUUAUCAGCUUGUUGGUGGGGUAGUGGCUUACCAAGGCGUUGACGGGUAGCCGGCCUGAGAGGGUGACCGGCCACAUUGGGACUGAGAUACGGCCCAGACUCCUACGGGAGGAAGCAGUGGGGAAGAUUGCACAAUGGGCGGAAGCCUGAUGCAGCAACGCCGCGUGCGGGAUGACGGCCUUCGGGUUGUAAACCGCUUUCGCCUGUGACGAAGCGUGAGUGACGGUAAUGGGUAAAGAAGCACCGGCUAACCACGUG
Molecule: ribosomal RNA, 468 nt
Filed under: uncultured bacterium
Lineage: Bacteria
Description: partial 16S ribosomal RNA
Rfam family: Bacterial small subunit ribosomal RNA
Source: RNAcentral